UAGGGAAUCUUUCGCAAUGGGCGAAAGCCUGACGGAGCAACGCCGCGUGAGUGAUGAAUGUCUUCGGAUCGUAAAACUCUGUUAUUAGGGAAGAACAAAUGUGUAAGUAACUAUGCACGUCUUGACGGUACCUAAUCAGAAAGCCACGGCUAACUUCGUGCCAGCAGCCGCGGUAAUACGUAGGUGGCAAGCGUUAUCCGGAAUUAUUGGGCGUAAAGCGCGCGUAGGCGGUUUUUUAAGUCUGAUGUGAAAGCCCACGGCUCAACCGUGGAGGGUCAUUGGAAACUGGAAAACUUGAGUGCAGAAGAGGAAAGUGGAAUUCCAUGUGUAGCGGUGAAAUGCGAAGAGAUAAGGAGGAACACCAGUGGCGAAGGCGACUUUCUGGACUAUAACUGACACUGAUGUGCGAAAGCGUGGGGAUCAAACAGG
This 429-nucleotide ribosomal RNA is filed under the name Actinomycetes bacterium. Its description in RNAcentral is "Actinobacteria bacterium partial 16S ribosomal RNA". It matches the Rfam family "Bacterial small subunit ribosomal RNA", at positions 355 to 776 of the family's 1533-position model. Lineage: Bacteria; Bacillati; Actinomycetota; Actinomycetes. The record is from RNAcentral.